Molecule: ribosomal RNA, 219 nt
Filed under: Triticum aestivum (bread wheat)
Lineage: Eukaryota; Viridiplantae; Streptophyta; Magnoliopsida; Poales; Poaceae
Description: partial small subunit ribosomal RNA
Source: RNAcentral
AUGCCUACCUUCGCGCUCACCGUCCUCCGUGUCCCAAAGAAGAUCCUCAGAGAGAUUGACAAGUGCAGGCGACGCUUCCUUUGGCGCCAAGAUGAAGAGAUCACGGGUGCCAGCUGCAAGGUCAACUGGCCGACGGUGUGUGCCCCCACGAAGCAUGGAGGCCUUGGCAUCUCCGACCUGCAGCGCUUCGGUAGGGCACUACGGCUUCGUUGGCUCUAG